This 74-nucleotide transfer RNA is filed under the name Puccinia triticina. RNAcentral's name for it is "tRNA-His". It matches the Rfam family "tRNA". Rfam says of the family: Transfer RNA (tRNA) molecules are approximately 80 nucleotides in length. Their secondary structure includes four short double-helical elements and three loops (D, anti-codon, and T loops). The record is from RNAcentral. Lineage: Eukaryota; Fungi; Basidiomycota; Pucciniomycetes; Pucciniales; Pucciniaceae. RNAcentral also lists the same sequence under 1 other name.
GGUAGUUUUAGCUCAGUUGGUAGAGUAAGCACUUGUGGCGUGCCUUGUCCAGAGUUCGAAUCUCUGAUUCUACC